RNAcentral lists this ribosomal RNA (402 nucleotides) under uncultured bacterium. RNAcentral describes it as "bacterial SSU rRNA". It matches the Rfam family "Bacterial small subunit ribosomal RNA", at positions 356 to 773 of the family's 1533-position model. The record is from RNAcentral.
AAGGAAUAUUGGACAAUGGGGGAAACCCUGAUCCAGCAAUGCCGCGUGAAUGAAGAAGGCCUUCGGGUUGUAAAGUUCUUUCGCUUACGAAGAAUUAAUGACGGUAGUAAGAUAAGAAGAUCCGGCUAACUCUGUGCCAGCAGCCGCGGUGAUACAGAGGGAUCUAGCGUUGUUCGGAAUGACUGGGCGUAAAGGGUGCGUAGGUGGUUGUUUAAGUAAAACGUUAAAGCCCUGGGCUUAACCCAGGAAUCGCGUUUUAAACUGAAUAGCUAGAGUGUGGAAAAGGAAAGUGGAAUUCCUAGUGUAGAGGUGAAAUUCGUAGAUAUUAGGAAGAACACCAGAGGCGAAGGCGGCUUUCUGGUCCACAACUGACACUGAGGCACGAAAGCGUGGGGAGCAAAC